Molecule: ribosomal RNA, 528 nt
Filed under: uncultured bacterium
Lineage: Bacteria
Description: bacterial SSU rRNA
Rfam family: Bacterial small subunit ribosomal RNA
Source: RNAcentral
AAUAGAUACCCGGGUAGUCCAUGCCGUAAACGUUGGGCGCUAGAUGUGGGGACCAUUCCACGGUUUCCGUGUCGCAGCUAACGCAUUAAGCGCCCCGCCUGGGGAGUACGGCCGCAAGGCUAAAACUCAAAGGAAUUGACGGGGGCCCGCACAAGCGGCGGAGCAUGCGGAUUAAUUCGAUGCAACGCGAAGAACCUUACCAAGGCUUGACAUAUACGAGAACGCUCUAGAAAUAGAGAACUCUUUGGACACUCGUAUACAGGUGGUGCAUGGUUGUCGUCAGCUCGUGUCGUGAGAUGUUGGGUUAAGUCCCGCAACGAACGCAACCCUCGUUCUAUGUUGCCAGCGGUUCGGCCGGGAACUCAUAGGAGACUGCCGGGGUCAACUCGGAGGAAGGUGGGGAUGACGUCAAAUCAUCAUGCCCCUUAUGUCUUGGGCUUCACGCAUGCUACAAUGGCCGGUACAAAGGGCUGCAAUACCGUAAGGUGGAGCGAAUCCCAAAAAGCCGGUCUCAGUUCGGAUUGAGGU